CCCUCAGUGGAGAAGGAGAACAGGCUAGCAAGGAGACUCCGGACUAGGGUCGCACCGGGAAUUCGGAAGCGCUGGAUUUUGCGUGGCCUCGGGCUCGGAAGCCAGGUCUAUUGUCCUGCUAAGAGCUCCCUGGACAGGGAUUGGGGUAGGGAGUGGGGGUUGUAUAGCUGCAUUUCCCUUUUAUAUUUUAAAGGGGGAAGUGGGGGUAAGGCAGGGAGGAGAUUGGACAAAAUACUUACUAAAUGUAAAUUUUUGAUGCGAAGAACGGAAUAACAAUUCCAUAAUUUUCAGUUGCUCCAUUAGGUUAACUUCACUUUUGAAUGCUCAGUUUUGAAAUUGGCUAGUGUGCUUAACAGAAUUUGAUCGCGUUCAGGGGUGAGCAUUUGAUACAUCUAAGUGCAUUUUAUUGCACUUAGAAGAGCGCUAUUCGGUCAUUUUUCACAAUGGAAGUUUUGAAGACUUGUGUACUUAGAAGAAAUGCAUGUACUGCGGCUUGUUUCUGGCGAAGCAAAGUUGUACAGAAGCCUUCAGUUAGGAAGAUUAGUACUACUUCUCCAAGGCGCACUGUCAUGCCUGCUUGGGUGAUAGAUAGAUAUGGGAAGAAUGAAGUCCUUCGAUUCACAAAGAACAUGAUGCUACCUAUCAUACAUUAUCCAAAUGAAGUUAUUAUAAAAGUCCAUGCUGCGAGCAUAAAUCCUAUAGAUGUUAAUAUCAGAAGUGGUUAUGGAGCAACAGCUUUAAAUAUGAAGCGUGAUCCUUUACAUGUGAAAACCAAAGGGGCAGAAUUUCCUCUGACGCUAGGUCGGGAUGUCUCCGGUGUGGUGAUGGAGUGUGGGCUUGAUGUGAAGUAUUUCAAGCCUGGAGAUGAGGUCUGGGCUGCAGUUCCUCCUUGGAAACAAGGCACUUUCUCGGAAUUCGUUGUGGUCAGCGGGAAUGAGGUCUCUCACAAGCCCAAAUCACUCACUCAUAUUCAAGCUGCUUCUUUGCCAUAUGUGGCUCUCACAGCCUGGUCUGCCAUAAACAAGGUUGGUGGCCUGAAUAACAAGAACUGCACAGGAAAACGAGUUUUAAUCUUGGGCGCUUCUGGCGGGGUUGGUACUUUUGCAAUACAGAUAAUGAAAGCGUGGGAUGCUCAUGUGACAGCAGUUUGCUCUAAAGAUGCCAAUGAGCUUGUAAGGAAGCUUGGGGCGGAUGAUGUAAUUGAUUACAAAUCUGGAAGUGUAGAAGAGCAGCUGAAACCCUCAAAACCGUUUGAUUUUAUCCUUGAUAAUGUUGGUGGAUCCACUGAAACAUGGGCUCUAAAUUUUCUCAAGAAAUGGUCAGGAGGCACCUAUGUGACUUUGGUGACUCCUUUCCUCCUGAACAUGGAUCGCCUGGGCGUAGCAGACGGCAUGCUGCAGACGGGAUUCACAGUGGGCACAAAGGCAUUAAAGCAUUUCUGGCAAGGAGUCCAUUAUCGCUGGGCCUUUUUCAUGGCCAGUGGCGUACAUCUAGAUGAAAUUGCGGAACUAGUAGAUGCAGGAAAGGAAUUGCUGAAUGACUCAUUGUGCUGUGGUCAGCCCUCUCGGGUUAUUUGCCACAAUAGGCCUGCCCAGCCAGAUGAAAGUGCAGUCACUGCUGGGUCAUCAGCUCAGCCUGUGUGGCUCCCAGAAGAGCACUGAAGUGAACGCAGUUCGGUGGCUUAGGCGGCUCAUUCUGGAGUGGAGCCUGUUCUGUGUACCUGCUCCGGAUUCAGCCAGUUAUUGAACAAACCUUUCCUUUUUCUAAAGUUCCGGAAGCCUUCCUGAAGGUGGAAAGAGGACACGCACGAGGAAAGACUGUAAUUAAUGUAAUUUAAAUAAAUGCUCUGUGCAGUUA
RNA transcript from Heterocephalus glaber (naked mole-rat), 1857 nucleotides. It is a transcript of the gene named reticulon 4 interacting protein 1, with no coding region annotated. The record is from RefSeq and is a predicted model, not a curated record. Lineage: Eukaryota; Metazoa; Chordata; Mammalia; Rodentia; Bathyergidae.